Neopsephotus bourkii (Bourke's parrot) is the source of this 2325-nucleotide long non-coding RNA. RefSeq lists it as uncharacterized. Lineage: Eukaryota; Metazoa; Chordata; Aves; Psittaciformes; Psittacidae. The record is from RefSeq and is a predicted model, not a curated record. The transcript has 3 exons.
GAAAGAAAGAAAGAAGAGGGUCAUUAAUUUCUCAAGAUAUGUCUAUGAAGGUCUCACUGUCACACAUGAAGGGAUGCAGCAUUUGGAUGACUUUCACCCCCCCAGUCUUUCCCUCAGACCUUAUGCAGCCUGCCUGCAAAGCCCUGCACAUACAUGAUGGAUAUUUAAGGCAUCUGUUCUGUACAGAGCUGUGUUUAUCUAACAGACACUCCGAAGCAAAGCACCCAGCCUUCAGAGGUUUGCCAUGGAAAACCUCCCCUCUACCUUAGGAGCACGGUAGGAAGGACACAAGGCAGCAUUGUUGUCCUCACUGCAGCCCAGGCUUGGCCCAGCUCCUGCCUGUGGCAGAGCCCAGCACUGAAAUUGCUGUUGCCAUCUUAGAGGUGAAAGCUCAUUAAUAACCGUGACCUGACUGUGAACUGCACCAGCAGUGCUUCGUUACAGACCUUCCCUUCUACAGCUCUAAUGACGGCAGGAUGCUGAAGAGAAGGUGUGAGCAGUGACCUGGAUUAAUUGCAACUCUAGCUGAAUUAACAAAUCUAUUUCCUGGAAUCAGAUGAGAAAUCCACUGCCUCACACACGUGGGGAGGGAGGUCUCAGCCCCUGGCAGGUAUUUCUCUGUGCUGGCUCUGUGACCACCCAGCCACCCUGUGAUGGAGGAAGGCUGGAGUCUCCUCCAUACAGAGGUGCAGCAGCAGUGAGUGGGGAUGGUGAAACAUCACUGUGUCCUUGGUUUGCUGGUCUUUGUACAAUCAGGAAGCUGGCCAGGGUGAAAUAAGGAUUUAAAAGGAAAAACGGAUCCCAAUCCCUAGCUGAUAUGGCAGAGUGGGUUUAUUGGUCUUUCAGAGGAGAACAGCUAAUCCAAGCCAGCUGAGAGCUUGACCCAUUAGCUUGUGCUUUAAAUCUGGGGUUUGAUCCGUAUUGGAAUGAAUGAGAAUUAGAGGCUGGCUCCCUCUGAGAACCCAGGUCCCCAUAAGGAGGAUAACCCCAGGCUGUGGCAGGGAGGUGACCUGAGAUUUCACCUUGCCAUGGUGCUGAGGGUGUGUGCAGAGCUUGCUGCCCACUGGAGAGGCACGAGCUGGGCCCCUCCAGGUGCUGCAUUACAGCACAUCAUAUCUUCCAUCCACUGAAACAUGGCAGCAGACCUGGCUGCUGAGCUCUCUGCUGCUGGGGUUUGUCUGCUCAGGCUGCUGCUGGUCCCUUUAAUUCCACAAGCUGUUUCCCACUUGGUCCAAGGAACCACUACAUCCCACCAUCAGCUGAGUGCCAUUUGCCUAGGCUAAAAAGAAGCCUCUCCUCCUGCUUUUGCCCUCUGCUGAAUGAAAGCAGAACCCAAGCUCUCAGAGUUUACGUCUCUAGCACCAUAUCUGCAGUGCUUAGCCCUUUUCUCAAAGCUCUUGCUCACUCUUUGGUUUCCUUUGCUAAACAGAUCUUGCUAAUUGCUUUCUUCCCUCGUUAUGCUGCCUGCUCCUUCUUGUGCCAUUCCCGUGAUGGUGGUUUGUGCACUUCCUUUCAGUACUGAACCAACUGCAGACUAGAUGCUGCUCCUCUGCUUUAGUUGAGGGCUGAUUUACAAGCUAACAGGGAGCAGGGCAAGGCUGCUCAGUGCAAUUUUCAUCCCUCCCUCUGUGCAGCAGGAUGGGAGGAGGAUUUGGGAGCACAGGUAUGCUGGGGCCAGCUGAGAGGCAGGCAGGUUUGGCCAGGGCCAUGGAGUAACUUUCCAGCAGACUUCUCUCCAGGCUGAAUAGCUGGUGGACUGAGUCACUUCAGAGUUUUCCAGUAUUCAGGACUGGGCUAUGUCCUAAUCAAAUACCUCCAUUUCCAGGCUGCUUGGUGCUAAGGAUCAUGGCAGCAUGGGGAAGAUGAGUCUCUCCAGGGUGCAGCCCCAGCUUUACACAGCUCAGCACUGCAGCUGCUUCCUGCACCAGCCACUUCCAUUGGAAGAGAACUUCCAUGCACUCGCUGAUCCCAAACCCACUGAAGCCCCCAGACCAUCUCCCACUGACUUUGGCUGCAAGCAACGGGAAGGCUGUGUGCAACAGGCUCUGCCUGCUUCCCUGUUUCUGUAGUUCUGCAGAACAGAACUGAUACAGGAAUCUGGGGCUCUGACCUUGGCUGCAGGACCCCCAAUUCAGCUGAGCAUGGACAUGAUGAAACGUAAGGGCAAUGAACUGUUUGGCUACAAGUAGCUUUGCACUGAAGUUUCUCAGAUCAAUGGCUCCGACUCCAGGAGCAGUCUCCUUACAUGGAUCAAGAUCGUUGAUUUCACUGAAACUUGGGCAAAGCUGCAGCAUCUACAGCUGGGACAGGGAUACUUCCUUGCCC